RNAcentral lists this ribosomal RNA (380 nucleotides) under Aphanomyces astaci. RNAcentral describes it as "partial large subunit ribosomal RNA". Lineage: Eukaryota; Oomycota; Saprolegniomycetes; Saprolegniales; Verrucalvaceae. The record is from RNAcentral.
AGCAAUAUUUUCAAGAAACAACUUUUUAAAUUCUAAUUUAAUAGAAGUCAAGUUAUGGUCUGAGAGAUAACUUAAAAAUGGUAAGUUAUUUAGGAACAAGAUAAAAGGCAAAACACCAAACUUCAUACAAACUUAAAUGUUUGACAUUUAAAAAUUAAAGAGAUUUUUUUUAACGUGUAUUUGAGACAAAUAAGCCAACCUUGGUACAUAACCGCUGAAAACUAAAAAACCGUACCCUAAACCAACACAGGUGGAUAGGUCGAGUAGACUAAGGUGUAUGAGAUAAUUAUGUUGAAGGAACUCGGCAAAAUGACUCUGUAACUUCGGGAGAAAGAGUACCUUUUUAUUUAAGUGUUUAUCGACGAAAUAAUAAGAAGGUG